Caenorhabditis elegans is the source of this 146-nucleotide non-coding RNA. The record is from Ensembl. NCBI's taxonomy places the organism in Eukaryota, Metazoa, Nematoda, Chromadorea, Rhabditida, Rhabditidae.
AAAAGCGAUGAUACAAGUCAAGGGAUACCCCCCUCCCCCGCACAACAACAAGAAAGAAUAAAAAAGAAGGCGGGGACAGCAAAGAGGGACACAUAUAUCUCUUCCGCGCGGAAAGAAAGCGGCAAAAACGUACUAAUGCGCGAGAA